This 454-nucleotide ribosomal RNA is filed under the name uncultured bacterium. Its description in RNAcentral is "bacterial SSU rRNA". It matches the Rfam family "Bacterial small subunit ribosomal RNA", at positions 64 to 507 of the family's 1533-position model. The record is from RNAcentral.
GAACGGUAACAUAAAGAAGCUUGCUUCUUUGAUGACGAGUGGCGGACGGGUGAGUAAUGCUUGGGAAUCUAGCUUAUGGAGGGGGAUAACUACGGGAAACUGUAGCUAAUACCGCGUAGAAUCGAGAGAUGAAAGUGUGGGACCUUCGGGCCACAUGCCAUAGGAUGAGCCCAAGUGGGAUUAGGUAGUUGGUGAGGUAAAGGCUCACCAAGCCGACGAUCUCUAGCUGGUCUGAGAGGAUGACCAGCCACACUGGGACUGAGACACGGCCCAGACUCCUACGGGAGGCAGCAGUGGGGAAUAUUGCGCAAUGGGGGCAACCCUCACGCAGCCAUGCCGCGUGAAUGAAGAAGGCCUUCGGGUUGUAAAGUUCUUUCGGUAGCGAGGAAGGCAUUUAGUUUAAUAGACUAGGUGAUUGACGUUAACUACAGAAGACGCACGGGGUAACUCCGUG